GAUGAACGCUGGCGGCGUGCUUAACACAUGCAAGUCGAACGGAAAGGCCAGUGCUUGCCCUGGUACUCGAGUGGCGAACGGGUGAGUAACACGUGGGUGAUCUGCCCUGUACUUCGGGAUAAGCUUGGGAAACUGGGUCUAAUACCGGAUAGGACAACUUUUUGGAUAUUGUUGUGGAAAGCUUUUGCGGUAUGGGAUGAGCUCGCGGCCUAUCAGCUUGUUGGUGGGGUAAUGGCCUACCAAGGCGUCGACGGGUAGCCGGCCUGAGAGGGUGUACGGCCACAUUGGGACUGAGAUACGGCCCAGACUCCUACGGGAGGCAGCAGUGGGGAAUAUUGCACAAUGGGCGCAAGCCUGAUGCAGCGACGCCGCGUGGGGGAUGAAGGCCUUCGGGUUGUAAACUCCUUUCGCUAGGGACGAAGCGAAAGUGACGGUACCUGGAGAAGAAGCACCGGCUAACUACGUG
Molecule: ribosomal RNA, 466 nt
Filed under: uncultured bacterium
Lineage: Bacteria
Description: partial 16S ribosomal RNA
Rfam family: Bacterial small subunit ribosomal RNA
Source: RNAcentral